GACGAACGCUGGCGGCGUGCUUAACACAUGCAAGUCGAGCGGUAAGGCCCUUUCGGGGGUACACGAGCGGCGAACGGGUGAGUAACACGUGGGUGACCUGCCCUCAGCUCUGGGAUAAGCCUGGGAAACUGGGUCUAAUACUGGAUAUGACUCCACGGUGCAUGUCGUGGGGUGGAAAGCCUUGUGCGGCUGAGGAUGGGCCCGCGGCCUAUCAGCUUGUUGGUGGGGUGANGGCCUACCAAAGGCGACGACGGGUAGCCGGCCUGAGAGGGCGACCGGCCACACUGGGACUGAGACACGGCCCAGACUCCUACGGGAGGCAGCAGUGGGGAAUCUUGCGCAAUGGGCGAAAGCCUGACGCAGCGACGCCGCGUGAGGGAUGACGGCCU
RNAcentral lists this ribosomal RNA (389 nucleotides) under uncultured bacterium. RNAcentral describes it as "bacterial SSU rRNA". It matches the Rfam family "Bacterial small subunit ribosomal RNA", at positions 28 to 417 of the family's 1533-position model. The record is from RNAcentral.